This 448-nucleotide ribosomal RNA is filed under the name uncultured bacterium. Its description in RNAcentral is "bacterial SSU rRNA". It matches the Rfam family "Bacterial small subunit ribosomal RNA", at positions 355 to 825 of the family's 1533-position model. The record is from RNAcentral.
UCGGGAAUUUUGGGCAAUGGGCGAAAGCCUGACCCAGCAACGCCGCGUGAAGGAUGAAGUAUUUCGGUAUGUAAACUUCGAAAGAAUAGGAAGAAUAAAUGACGGUACUAUUUAUAAGGUCCGGCUAACUACGUGCCAGCAGCCGCGGUAAUACGUAGGGACCAAGCGUUGUUCGGAUUUACUGGGCGUAAAGGGCGCGUAGGCGGCAAUUCAAGUCAUCUGUGAAAUCUCCGGGCUUAACUCGGAACGGUCAGAUGAUACUGCUUUGCUAGAGUGCAGAAGGGGCAAUCGGAAUUCUUGGUGUAGCGGUGAAAUGCGUAGAUAUCAAGAGGAACACCUGAGGUGAAGACGGGUUGCUGGGCUGACACUGACGUUGAGGCGCGAAAGCCAGGGGAGCAAACGGGAUUAGGAUACCCUAGUAGUCCCUGAGCGGGCUGGCAAGGCGCAU